GACGAACGCUGGCGGCGUGCUUAACACAUGCAAGUCGAACGGAAAGGCCCUGCUUUUGGGGGGUGCGCGAGGGGCGAACGGGGGAGUAACACGUGAGUAACCUGUCCUUGACGUUGGGAUAACUUCAGGAAACUUGGGCUAAUACCGGAUAGGAGCUCCUGGGGCAGGGUGGGGGCUGGUAAGUCUCGGCGGUUGGGGAGGGACUCGCGCCUUAUCAGCUUGUUGGUGGGGUAGUGGCUUACCAAGGCUUUCACGGGUAGCCGACCUGGGAGGGGGACCGGCCCCAUUGGGCCUGAGCUACGACCCAGCCUCCAACGGGACGCAGCGGUGGAGAAUAUUGCCCUAUGGGCGGAAGCCUGAUGCGACAACGCCGCGUGCGGGAUGACGGCCUUCGGGUUGUAAACCACUUUCGCCUGUGACGAGGAGUGAGUGACGGUAAUGGGUAAAGAAGCACCGGCUAACUACGUG
This 468-nucleotide ribosomal RNA is filed under the name uncultured bacterium. RNAcentral describes it as "partial 16S ribosomal RNA". It matches the Rfam family "Bacterial small subunit ribosomal RNA", at positions 28 to 507 of the family's 1533-position model. The record is from RNAcentral.